This 777-nucleotide ribosomal RNA is filed under the name uncultured bacterium. Its description in RNAcentral is "bacterial SSU rRNA". It matches the Rfam family "Bacterial small subunit ribosomal RNA", at positions 8 to 796 of the family's 1533-position model. The record is from RNAcentral.
AGAGUUUGAUCCUGGCUCAGGACAAACGCUGGCGGCGUGCUUAACACAUGCAAGUCGAACGGGUACCCUUCGGGGUGCUAGUGGCGGACGGGUGAGUAACACGUAGAUAACCUGCCCUUUAGUGGGGAAUAACUCCUCGAAAGAGGAGCUAAUACCGCAUAAGCUCUCUGACGUUAGUUGGAGAGGAAACGCGCAAGUGGCUAAAGGAGGGGUCUGCGGCGGAUUAGCUAGAUGGUGGGGUAAUGGCCUACCAUGGCGACGAUCCGUAGCUGGUCUGAGAGGACGACCAGCCACACUGGGACUGAGACACGGCCCAGACUCCUACGGGAGGCAGCAGUGAGGAAUAUUCCACAAUGGGCGAAAGCCUGAUGGAGCGACGCCGCGUGAAGGAUGAAGCCCUUUGGGGUGUAAACUUCUUUUUUGAGGGAUGAAACGUGCCAAUAGGCACUAAGACAGUACCUCAAGAAUAAGCAUCGGCUAACUACGUGCCAGCAGCCGCGGUAAUACGUAGGAUGCUAGCGUUGUCCGGAUUUACUGGGCGUAAAGCGCGCGCAGGCGGCAUGGCAAGUAAGGUGUGAAAUCCAUCUGCUCAACGGGUGGGGUGCACUUUAGACUGCCAAGCUAGAGGUCGGUAGAGGGUGGUGGAAUUGCUGGUGUAGCGGUGAAAUGCGUAGAGAUCAGCAGGAACACCCGUGGCGAAGGCGGCCACCUGGGCCGUACCUGACGCUGAGGCGCGAAGGCUAGGGGAGCGAACGGGAUUAGAUACCCCAGUAGUCC